This 448-nucleotide ribosomal RNA is filed under the name uncultured Nitrosospira sp. Its description in RNAcentral is "bacterial SSU rRNA". It matches the Rfam family "Bacterial small subunit ribosomal RNA", at positions 198 to 637 of the family's 1533-position model. The record is from RNAcentral. Lineage: Bacteria; Pseudomonadati; Pseudomonadota; Betaproteobacteria; Nitrosomonadales; Nitrosomonadaceae.
AGGGGAUCGCAAGACCUUGCGCUUUUGGAGCGGCCGAUGUCUGAUUAGCUAGUUGGUGAGGUAAAGGCUUACCAAGGCUUCGAUCAGUAGCUGGUCUGAGAGGACGACCAGCCACACUGGGACUGAGACACGGCCCAGACUCCUACGGGAGGCAGCAGUGGGGAAUUUUGGACAAUGGGGGCAACCCUGAUCCAGCCAUGCCGCGUGAGUGAAGAAGGCCUUCGGGUUGUAAAGCUCUUUCAGCCGGAACGAAACGGUCACGGUUAAUAACCGUGAUCACUGACGGUACCGGAAGAAGAAGCACCGGCUAACUACGUGCCAGCAGCCGCGGUAAUACGUAGGGUGCGAGCGUUAAUCGGAAUUACUGGGCGUAAAGCGUGCGCAGGCGGUUUUGUAAGUCAGAUGUGAAAUCCCCGGGCUUAACCUGGGAACUGCGUUUGAAACUACA